Molecule: transfer RNA, 78 nt
Filed under: Nitrososphaerota archaeon
Lineage: Archaea; Thermoproteati; Nitrososphaerota
Also listed under: 1 other name
Description: Thaumarchaeota archaeon tRNA-Pro
Rfam family: tRNA
About the family: Transfer RNA (tRNA) molecules are approximately 80 nucleotides in length. Their secondary structure includes four short double-helical elements and three loops (D, anti-codon, and T loops). Further hydrogen bonds mediate the characteristic L-shaped molecular structure. tRNAs have two regions of fundamental functional importance: the anti-codon, which is responsible for specific mRNA codon recognition, and the 3' end, to which the tRNAs corresponding amino acid is attached (by aminoacyl-tRNA synthetases). tRNAs cope with the degeneracy of the genetic code in two manners: having more than one tRNA (with a specific anti-codon) for a particular amino acid; and 'wobble' base-pairing, i.e. permitting non-standard base-pairing at the 3rd anti-codon position.
Source: RNAcentral
GGGGCCGUUGUCUAGCUUGGUCAUGAUGCUAGCCUGGGGUGCUAGAGGUCGUGGGUUCAAAUCCCACCGGCCCCACCA